GUGGAGGCAGGCAGGCCUGGAGGUGAGAGGGAGCUACACUUGGAGCCUGAUGCGCCAUCUUCAAAAGAACACAGCGUCAAACAAACAGGGAACUUGGAAGUGACACCCUCAGUGGAAGGAUAAUCUUAGAGUGGGGUGGGGUGAGGUACAAACCUGUGUCCCAUCAGCAAGUUUUGUGCACAGAGAAAGGAAGACAGUCCCCAAACAAAAGCAAACACAAACCAAAAAGACAAGUAAAAGUCAGUGGAAACUAUGUGAAUCCCAAGGUGACCUUAAAGGAUUGUUACCAUCAGGUUCCAAAAAAACAAAGAGGACACCACGGCCUCAAGAAAAUCUGCAGUAAAUAUGUGUCUUGGCAGUGCUGAUUGCCUGGGGGACCCUGCACAAAAGAGAACAGGCAGCCUGGACUCCCAAGAAAUGAAGGGCAAACUGCCCUGCCCCAUCCCCUGCUGCUGCUACCAUUUGCCAGAAACCGGAGGAGAGGCGAUGAGACUGGAUUGUAUGCUUUGUUGUAAAUACUCAAGCCUGGGAUAGAUGAAAACACUGACCUCUGACCGCUGCUCCACACCUGGGGUGCAGGAAGAAGCACUGUCAAUAACCACGAACUUUGUGAAAACCGGAAAGGACUGCAGGAGACCUGGGAUGUGGACACCAGGCCCACCCUGCUUCCGGCCACAGUGAGCACUUGCCCUUUGCCUGCACUCAGGGGACAUCCAUCCUCCAUCUUCUGGCCCCUAGUGACUCUUGGCAUCUCCACUGUCCUGGCCUCCUAGGCAAAGCUCCCUUCCCUCUGGGUACACUGGCCCACCCCGCACCUCUCCCAGUGGCAUUGUGUCUCAGCCUCGUGGGGACCGGGGGAUGGCGACAGCGUGGGGAGUGCCAGUCCUGAGUGCAAGUGCACACCUUACUGCAGCCUACCCGGGCAUCCCCCUGGGUCGUCCCUGGCAUCCGCCACUCUGCCUCUCAUCCUCUGGGCUGCCCCCUUCCCCAUAGCUGUGCCUAGUCCGUCGCACCACAAAAUCUUCCUUGCAGAUUCCACACACCUGGGGCAAGAGGAGCCCGGGACGAAAAGCACCAGCACCGGGUUGCCAAGAGUGGCGUGGACAGGAGGAACCACAUGCAGC
Molecule: long non-coding RNA, 1124 nt
Filed under: Fukomys damarensis (Damara mole-rat)
Lineage: Eukaryota; Metazoa; Chordata; Mammalia; Rodentia; Bathyergidae
Description: lncRNA (ENSFDAG00000028818.1)
Source: RNAcentral